RNAcentral lists this ribosomal RNA (442 nucleotides) under Astacoides betsileoensis. RNAcentral's name for it is "partial 16S ribosomal RNA". It matches the Rfam family "Archaeal large subunit ribosomal RNA", at positions 2044 to 2688 of the family's 2987-position model. Lineage: Eukaryota; Metazoa; Arthropoda; Malacostraca; Decapoda; Parastacidae. The record is from RNAcentral.
ACUAGUCUUUUAAUUGAAGACUUGUAUGAACGGUUGGACGAAAAAUAAACUGUCUUUGUUUGAGUAAAUUGAAUUUAACUUUUAAGUGAAAAGGCUUAAAUGAUCUAGAGGGACGAUAAGACCCUAUAAAACUUUACAUUAAAGUUAUUUAAAAAUUAUUUAGAUAAUAAGGUUUAUAAGUAAUAAGAUGUUUUGUUGGGGCGACAAGAAUAUAAUAAUAUAACUGUUCUUAAAUGUAAUCAAAAAUUUUUGAUUUAAUGAUCCUAAGUAAAGAUAUUAGAAUAAGUUACUUUAGGGAUAACAGCGUAAUUUUUUUAGAGAGUUCAUAUCGAUAAGAGAGUUUGCGACCUCGAUGUUGAAUUAAAGAAUCUUUAUAACGGAGAAGUUAUAGGAGAGGGUCUGUUCGACCUUUAAAUCUUUACAUGAUUUGAGUUCAAACCGG